RNAcentral lists this transfer-messenger RNA (274 nucleotides) under Candidatus Pelagibacteraceae bacterium. It matches the Rfam family "Alphaproteobacteria transfer-messenger RNA". From Rfam's summary of the family: Bacterial tmRNA, also known as 10Sa RNA or SsrA, is named for its dual tRNA and mRNA-like properties. Lineage: Bacteria; Pseudomonadati; Pseudomonadota; Alphaproteobacteria; Candidatus Pelagibacterales; Candidatus Pelagibacteraceae. The record is from RNAcentral.
UAAUUUAAAAUUUUAUGAAGGUGAAGAAACAUAAAGAGAUUCUUGAUGAAGGUAAUGAGAGUAACUAAUAUGGACCUGGGUGCAAUACCCAGCGCCUCCACCAAUCCUAGAUAGACCUUUAAGGGGGCGAAAUAGGAUCGACAGUUAGAAAAAAUCGUACUGGAGAGGAUAGUCCAAAGACUUUAAACUAAAAUAAAAGCAAACUUUAAUGAGUAUGCAUUAGCAGCGUAGGCUGUUAGGGGUUUGCCUGUACCUUGCAACAGAAACAGGCACA